RNAcentral lists this ribosomal RNA (495 nucleotides) under uncultured bacterium. RNAcentral describes it as "partial 16S ribosomal RNA". It matches the Rfam family "Bacterial small subunit ribosomal RNA", at positions 28 to 507 of the family's 1533-position model. The record is from RNAcentral.
GACGAACGCUGGCGGCGUGCCUAAUACAUGCAAGUAGAACGCUGAAGGAGGAGCUUGCUUCUCUGGAUGAGUUGCGAACGGGUGAGUAACGCGUAGGUAACCUGCCUGGUAGUGGGGGAUAACUAUUGGAAACGAUAGCUAAUACCGCAUAAUAGCAGUUGUUGCAUGAUAACUGUUUGAAAGGUGCAAUUGCACCGCUACCAGAUGGACCUGCGUUGUAUUAGCUAGUUGGUGGGGUAACGGCUCACCAAGGCGACGAUACAUAGCCGACCUGAGAGGGUGAUCGGCCACACUGGGACUGAGACACGGCCCAGACUCCUACGGGAGGCAGCAGUAGGGAAUCUUCGGCAAUGGACGGAAGUCUGACCGAGCAACGCCGCGUGAGUGAAGAAGGUUUUCGGAUCGUAAAGCUCUGUUGUAAGAGAAGAACGAGUGUGGGAGUGGAAAGUUCACACUGUGACGGUAUCUUACCAGAAAGGGACGGCUAACUACGUG